CUGAAUAUGCAUAGUUCAGUUGUGUUUAGCUUAUGUGUACUUUAUGGUGGUGCUAUGAUUGCGGAGAGCCAUGCUGAAAAAUGCAAGUACCCAUUUCGGAGAAUAGGAGAUGGCUGCUACUUCAUAAGUAGAAAUAAAACUACUCCAGAUAGAGCAUCUGCUUUGUGUUUACGGCGUGGUGCAUACCUUGCCACCUUUGAGACUUUGGAAGAGACCAUGUUGAUGAAGUAUGAACUUCAACAAAUGAAUACAGGGCGGAACAUCGACAGAUACGUAUCUGGCGGAGACUGGAGAUGGAUAAAAAACGGCAAAAUGAUCAAGAUGACGUACAAAGCCUUUGGCGCAAGAGAACCUGACGGAAAUAAUUCUAGCCCACAAGACUGCAUGAUGUUUUUCGCUGCAGAGAGAUAUGCAUUUCAUAACGUAUACUGUGACCAUCCCGGAUGGAAUAGUGGCUAUAUUUGUAAGAAAUGAUUAAAAUGAACAUAAUUUUAAUAACUA
This is a long non-coding RNA of Mytilus californianus (California mussel), 501 nucleotides long. RefSeq lists it as uncharacterized. The record is from RefSeq and is a predicted model, not a curated record. The transcript has 4 exons. NCBI's taxonomy places the organism in Eukaryota, Metazoa, Mollusca, Bivalvia, Mytilida, Mytilidae.